GGCCUGCCUUUCAUGGGGCUGCAGGGGGUUUCUUUUCCCCUCAGCCGUGACUGGAGGCCAAGAUCAACCCAUGAGGAUUAUUGUCAGGGCUGCCACAAGCUGGGCAGCUGUGUUUUCCUGCCUCAGACAUUU
Phyllostomus discolor (pale spear-nosed bat) is the source of this 132-nucleotide non-coding RNA. NCBI's taxonomy places the organism in Eukaryota, Metazoa, Chordata, Mammalia, Chiroptera, Phyllostomidae. The record is from RefSeq and is a predicted model, not a curated record.